AGAGUUUGAUCCUGCCUCAGAUCAAACGCUGGCGGUAUGCUUAACACAUGCAAGUCGAACGGUAGCAGCAGAGCUUGCUCUGGCUGACGAGUGGCGGACGGGUGCGUAACGCGUGGGAAUUUACCUUUUAGUGGGGGAUAGCCCGGAGAAAUCCGGAUUAAUACCGCAUAAUCUCUACGGAGCAAAGUGGGGGAUCUUCGGACCUCACGCUAUUAGAUGAGCCCGCGUUAGAUUAGCUUGUUGGUGAGGUAAUGGCUCACCAAGGCAACGAUCUAUAGCUGGUUUGAGAGGAUGAUCAGCCACACUGGGACUGAGACACGGCCCAGACUCCUACGGGAGGCAGCAGUGGGGAAUAUUGGACAAUGGGCGCAAGCCUGAUCCAGCAAUACCGCGUGUGUGAAGAAGGCCUGAGGGUUGUAAAGCACUUUCAAUAGAGACGAAAAGCUUAGGGUUAAUAACCCUGGGUCUUGACUUAACCUAUAGAAGAAGCACGCGGUAAUACGCAGGGUGCGAGCGUUAAUCGGAAUUACUGGGCGUAAAGCGUGCGCAGGCGGCUUUUUAAGACAGGUGUGAAAUCCCCGGGCUUAACCUGGGAAUGGCGCUUGUGACUGGAAGGCUAGAGUGCGGCAGAGGGGGAUGGAAUUCCUGGUGUAGCAGUGAAAUGCGUAGAUAUCAGGAGGAACACCGAUGGCGAAGGCAGUCCCCUGGGUCGACACUGACGCUCAGGCACGAAAGCGUGGGGAGCAAACAGGAUUAGAUACCCUGGUAGUCCACGCCCUAAACGAUGUCAACUAGUUGUUGGGGAAGGAGACUUCUUUAGUAACGUAGCUAACGCGUGAAGUUGACCGCCUGGGGAGUACGGCCGCAAGGUUAAAACUCAAAGGAAUUGACGGGGACCCGCACAAGCGGUGGAUGAUGUGGAUUAAUUCGAUGCAACGCGAAAAACCUUACCUACCCUUGACAUGCCAGGAACUUGCCAGAGAUGGCUUGGUGCCCGAAAGGGAGCCUGGACACAGGUGCUGCAUGGGUUGUCGUCUCAGCUCGUGUCGUGAGAUGUUGGGUUAAGUCCCGCAACGAGCGCAACCCUUGUCAUUAAUUGCCAUCAUUUAGUUGGGCACUCUAAUGAGACUGCCGGUGACAAACCGGAGGAAGGUGGGGAUGACGUCAAGUCCUCAUGGCCCUUAUGGGUAGGGCUUCACACGUCAUACAAUGGCGCGUACAGAGGGUUGCCAACCCGCGAGGGGGAGCCAAUCCCAGAAAGCGCGUCGUAGUCCGGAUUGUUCUCUGCAACUCGAGAGCAUGAAGUCGGAAUCGCUAGUAAUCGCGGAUCAGCAUGUCGCGGUGAAUACGUUCCCGGGUCUUGUACACACCGCCCGUCAUACCAUGGGAGUGGGUUUCACCAGAAGUAGCUAGCCUAACCGCAAGGGGGGCGGUUACCACGGUGAGAUUCAUGACUGGGGUGAAGUCGUAACAAGGUAACC
RNAcentral lists this ribosomal RNA (1481 nucleotides) under uncultured prokaryote. RNAcentral's name for it is "partial 16S ribosomal RNA". It matches the Rfam family "Bacterial small subunit ribosomal RNA". The record is from RNAcentral.